Molecule: ribosomal RNA, 489 nt
Filed under: uncultured bacterium
Lineage: Bacteria
Description: partial 16S ribosomal RNA
Rfam family: Bacterial small subunit ribosomal RNA
Source: RNAcentral
GAUGAACGCUAGCUACAGGCUUAACACAUGCAAGUCGAAGGGCAGCAUGGUCUUAGCUUGCUAAGGCCGAUGGCGACCGGCGCACGGGUGAGUAACACGUAUCCAACCUGCCGUCUACUCUUGGACAGCCCUCUGAAAGGAAGAUUAAUACAAGAUGGCAUCAUGAGUCCGCAUGUUCACAUGAUUAAAGGUAUUCCGGUAGACGAUGGGGAUGCGUUCCAUUAGAUAGUAGGCGGGGUAACGGCCCACCUAGUCUUCGAUGGAUAGGGGUUCUGAGAGGAAGGUCCCCCACAUUGGAACUGAGACACGGUCCAAACUCCUACGGGAGGCAGCAGUGAGGAAUAUUGGUCAAUGGGCGAGAGCCUGAACCAGCCAAGUAGCGUGAAGGAUGACUGCCCUAUGGGUUGUAAACUUCUUUUAUAAAGGAAUAAAGUCGGGUAUGGAUACCCGUUUGCAUGUACUUUAUGAAUAAGGAUCGGCUAACUCCGU